Transfer RNA from Verticillium dahliae VdLs.17, 85 nucleotides. It matches the Rfam family "tRNA". From Rfam's summary of the family: Transfer RNA (tRNA) molecules are approximately 80 nucleotides in length. Their secondary structure includes four short double-helical elements and three loops (D, anti-codon, and T loops). The record is from Rfam. NCBI's taxonomy places the organism in Eukaryota, Fungi, Ascomycota, Sordariomycetes, Glomerellales, Plectosphaerellaceae.
UCCCUGGUGGCCCAGUUGGUUAAGGCGUCCGACUGUUAACAACAGAUCAAUCGGGAGAUCGACAGUUCGAACCUGUCUCGGGGAG